Molecule: ribosomal RNA, 321 nt
Filed under: uncultured eukaryote
Lineage: Eukaryota
Description: partial 18S ribosomal RNA
Rfam family: Eukaryotic small subunit ribosomal RNA
Source: RNAcentral
CCCUUAGAUGUUCUGGGCCGCACGCGUGCUACACUGAGUGGAUCAGCGGGUCAGGUUGCGCGAAAGUGUUUCCUAAUCUUUAAAUCCGCUCGUGAUGGGGAUUGACGGUUGCAAUUUCCGUCAUGAACGAGGAAUACCUUGUAAGCGCGGGUCAUCAUCCCGCGCUGAAUACGUCCCUGCCCUUUGUACACACCGCCCGUCGCUCCUACCGAUUGAGUGGUCCGGUGAGGCUUUGGGAUCUGAGCGGAAAGAGCGUUUCGCUGUUUCUGCCCGGAAAACUCAGUCGAACCUUAUCAUUUAGAGGAAGGAGAAGUCGUAACA